This 495-nucleotide ribosomal RNA is filed under the name uncultured bacterium. Its description in RNAcentral is "partial 16S ribosomal RNA". It matches the Rfam family "Bacterial small subunit ribosomal RNA", at positions 30 to 507 of the family's 1533-position model. The record is from RNAcentral.
UGAACGCUGGCGGCGUGCCUAAUACAUGCAAGUCGAGCGAACAGACGAGGAGCUUGCUCCUUUGACGUUAGCGGCGGACGGGUGAGUAACACGUGGAUAACCUACCUAUAAGACUGGGAUAACUUCGGGAAACCGGAGCUAAUACCGGAUAACAUGUUGAACCGCAUGGUUCAACAGUGAAAGACGGUCUUGCUGUCACUUAUAGAUGGAUCCGCGCCGCAUUAGCUAGUUGGUAAGGUAACGGCUUACCAAGGCAACGAUGCGUAGCCGACCUGAGAGGGUGAUCGGCCACACUGGAACUGAGACACGGUCCAGACUCCUACGGGAGGCAGCAGUAGGGAAUCUUCCGCAAUGGGCGAAAGCCUAACGGAGCAACGCCGCGUGAGUGAAGAAGGUCUUCGGAUCGUAAAACUCUGUUAUUAGGGAAGAACAAAUGUGUAAGUAACUAUGCACGUCUUGACGGUACCUAAUCAGAAAGCCACGGCUAACUACGUG